GGGGGCGAAAGGACUCGACGGGGAGCGGAAAGCACAGGUGGCACGCCGAGGCUGCCCGGAACCUCGUUAAUCACCGGGCCGCUUGAACAAGCGCCAACAACGACUUCGCUCUCGCUGCCUGAUCGAGGCGGCGCGCCCGCCCGCCCCUGCCCGUGGGGGCGGUCCCGGGUGUCAUAGCUCACGGGCUGGCCGUCGCAUCGCUGGCCCGGCGGUGCGCGGCGAGAUCGACGGGCUGGCGACCCGGGCACCUGCCCUUCGGUUCCCGGGGAGCGAGAUCUGGAAGAAGCGGCUAAGCGUGUAGAAGCCUGUCGCCGACCCUCCUCGGACGCGGGUUCGAUUCCCGCCGCCUCCACCA
This 355-nucleotide transfer-messenger RNA is filed under the name Acidobacteriota. RNAcentral describes it as "J045 sp003696075 Standard tmRNA". It matches the Rfam family "transfer-messenger RNA". Rfam says of the family: Bacterial tmRNA, also known as 10Sa RNA or SsrA, is named for its dual tRNA and mRNA-like properties. The record is from RNAcentral. Lineage: Bacteria; Pseudomonadati. RNAcentral also lists the same sequence under 1 other name.